AACGAACGCUGGCGGCAUGCCUAACACACGCAAGUCGAACGAGACCUUCGGGUCUAGUGGCGCACGGGUGCGUAACGCGUGGGAACCUGCCCUUAGGUUCGGAAUAACUCCCCGAAAGGGGUGCUAAUACCGGAUAAUGUCUUCGGACCAAAGAUUUAUCGCCUUUGGAUGGGCCCGCGUUGGAUUAGCUAGUUGGUAGGGUAAAAGCCUACCAAGGCGACGAUCCAUAGCUGGUCUGAGAGGAUGAUCAGCCACACUGGGACUGAGACACGGCCCAGACUCCUACGGGAGGCAGCAGUGGGGAAUAUUGGACAAUGGGCGAAAGCCUGAUCCAGCAAUGCCGCGUGAGUGAUGAAGGCCUUAGGGUUGUAAAGCUCUUUUACCCGGGAUGAUAAUGACAGUACCGGGAGAAUAAGCUCCGGCUAACCCCGUG
RNAcentral lists this ribosomal RNA (433 nucleotides) under uncultured bacterium. RNAcentral describes it as "partial 16S ribosomal RNA". It matches the Rfam family "Bacterial small subunit ribosomal RNA", at positions 29 to 507 of the family's 1533-position model. The record is from RNAcentral.